Molecule: transfer RNA, 66 nt
Filed under: Ceutorhynchus albosuturalis
Lineage: Eukaryota; Metazoa; Arthropoda; Insecta; Coleoptera; Curculionidae
Description: tRNA-Cys
Source: RNAcentral
AGCUAUUUCGUCUAAAAGGAUUUUAAAUUGCAAAUUUAAAGGUGAUAUUAAAUAUAUCUUUAGCUU